Cinara cedri is the source of this 402-nucleotide non-coding RNA. The record is from the annotation of a GenBank genome assembly. NCBI's taxonomy places the organism in Eukaryota, Metazoa, Arthropoda, Insecta, Hemiptera, Aphididae.
AUAGAAAUUACAGCAUUUCAAAACUUAUACAGGUAAAACUAAACUCUGUGCUGAGAAUCGUAUUUCGUUAGAAAUGCUUACAGAUAUAAAUUAAAUACCUAACUUUAUGAAUUUUGUCUUCCCAACUUCUCCCCUACAACAACGCCAUCCAUCACGUCUCUUCAACCGAUUUGUUAUUUCUUUCAAGCUAAAAACAUUUCAACCCACACCCUAUUAUCUAUUAAUUAAGUCAAAUCUAAGCCAACGCAUAUUUGUUACCAACAUCAAUGGCUCCAACUCUAACAUCCAAACAGCAUCAACUGGUAUUUUCCAAGAUCCUCGAGGAACGCUAGAUAAUGCUGACAUUGCGUCAUUCCUUUUUAACAUCUUUAUCAGCAAACUUUUAUUUAUAUCUAUACCUUA